This 429-nucleotide ribosomal RNA is filed under the name Triticum aestivum (bread wheat). Its description in RNAcentral is "partial small subunit ribosomal RNA". Lineage: Eukaryota; Viridiplantae; Streptophyta; Magnoliopsida; Poales; Poaceae. The record is from RNAcentral.
AUGUUUGGUGCUGGCUUGGUCGAGACUAUUGGGUGGACCUUUAUGUACCUCUUAGUGGGGCAGCAUGAACCAUGUACAAGGGAGGAAAGUGACGUCUACAUCCUGGGGUUCAUCGGGCUUUACCUUCGUUCAGCGCUUAGCUCGGAGCAGCUAGAUCACCUUCGGCAGAGAAUUGCAUACGAGAUUGUGAUCAUGAUGGGAACACGGGAGAUCUCCCAGAUUUCCUGUGCGAGGAGAUCAUUGACUGAAGGGAAUGAAUUGUGGUUCAGCAUUCGUGCUGGCUGUUCAGAUCUUUGGUCCGUGCGACGCGAGUGCUAUGUCCGUAGAAGUGCCCCUCUUAUGUUUCGGGGGCUUUUGGAGCACCCCAACCCCCAGCAGAACCUGAAAUCCAAUGAAACUUCUUUGAAUUUGUACUUUUUUAAGACCUAA